GGGAGACUGCUGAGGGAGGACCGGGCGGCGCUGGCGGGAGGAGGGGAGGGAGGCUAUCGCGGGGACGACUAACGGCGGGGAAGACGCCUGAGGGGUCAUUUGGGGAUGAGAAGGCCAGAAUAUUCUCUAUGGACAGCAUCCUGCUCAAACUGCACUGAAGAACUAAAAGAGUAUUCCAAGUUUGGCAAAGUCCAAACUGAAGAAAGAAAAGUGAAUAGCAAAACAUGAGAAACACUUGUCUAUAUAAGAACUAUUUUCAAUCAUCUCUUUGGGGAAGAAUGGAAUUUAGGUCCUUCAGAAUAUGAUAAAAGCAGGAAACAGUCAGUGCUGGAGAACUUAAUUACCUGAGGGAGCCUGGGCACAACUAGUUCAGCAUAAGGGCUCUCUGCUGUGGGGUUUUGGAGACAUUUGAUGCAUUACCCGAGAGUCUUAGGGAUACUGAAUGAAAUCGCUCUUUA
Cebus imitator (Panamanian white-faced capuchin) is the source of this 458-nucleotide long non-coding RNA. RefSeq lists it as uncharacterized. The record is from RefSeq and is a predicted model, not a curated record. The transcript has 3 exons. Lineage: Eukaryota; Metazoa; Chordata; Mammalia; Primates; Cebidae.